Long non-coding RNA from Syzygium oleosum, 835 nucleotides. RefSeq lists it as uncharacterized. NCBI's taxonomy places the organism in Eukaryota, Viridiplantae, Streptophyta, Magnoliopsida, Myrtales, Myrtaceae. The record is from RefSeq and is a predicted model, not a curated record. The transcript has 2 exons.
UCAUUAACACAGCAAAAGUCUAUUUACAUCAAAAACUAUGAUAUCCAACAUAGAUUUCGGGGGAUAAAGUAGCGAGUUCGGGGGAAGUUUUUUCUUCCGUUUUGCCUUGACCACCCAAUCUGCAAGUUGAUUUGCUUCUCUCGGACAGUAGGACAAACUCACCCAAUUUAAUUGGGCCAGCUUUGAUCUGCAUUCGUCCAUCCAGGCCUGUAUUUUCCAUGGACUUUGCUCCCCUUGAACUAGGCACUAAUGAGCAAAGUACAGUCGGUAUGUACUUCCACUUUGCUCCCACAAGGGAUUUCUCUUCCCAGCUUUUCUUCCACAAAACGCAGGCCAUGGAGAAGAACUAGGGCUUCAGCUGCUUCGGCCGAUCCAGCACGAACGGAGUACGCAAACCCAUCGAUCAUCAUUCCUCUAUAGUCGCGAACCACCCUAGCCACCGCUGAGUCCAACGAUCCUUUCGAUUUUGAGCCAUCCAGGUUAAGCUUUAGAGAUCCCCUCGCCAGCGGCUUCCAAAUUUAGCCUUGGAUCCGCCCAAAUGGAAGCUGCCCAUGGUCAAAGGAGUAGGAUAUGCUUGACUGUUUCCGGUACCUGUUUGCACAAGGGGCAUAAGGGGUCAGGUACGCUAUUUCUCUUGUACAGAUUUUCUCUAGUUGGUAAGGCAUUUUGGCAUGCACUCCAUAGGAAUAUCCGAAUCUUGGGGGGAGUGUUUAACUUCCACAGAGUAUUCCAGAAAGAUCUUGAUACUUGGAAUGAGAUGGAGGGUAACGUUAAUUAUUGUUGUAGGCUUACUGGACGUAGUUUGUUGUAAGCACUUUUAACCGUAUAUUCCCCA